RNAcentral lists this long non-coding RNA (287 nucleotides) under Cyanistes caeruleus (blue tit). RNAcentral's name for it is "lncRNA (ENSCCEG00000019205.1)". The record is from RNAcentral. Lineage: Eukaryota; Metazoa; Chordata; Aves; Passeriformes; Paridae.
GUUGUAUUCUUUAAUAUGCAUAUCAUUGUUUCAAUUUUUUUAUAGACUACGUUGAACUUGUCUGCAAGAGAAGAGAAUAUCAAUCAGUAUCUGUGCAGAUGGUGAAUCUCAUUUUCAGGAAAUAUCUGGAAAAUGCUUGGCUGGCCUUAAAAUAGAUGAGAAUUAGAGAUGAGUGUACUGAGCUUGGCUACUAGACACUGUGACCCUGUAAGACAAGGACUUUUCCCAGUCGUGGUCAAAAAGAGCAAGUAUUCUUACUUUGGACCCUGUGAGUUGGAUUCUGUAGG